This 253-nucleotide ribosomal RNA is filed under the name uncultured bacterium. RNAcentral describes it as "partial 16S ribosomal RNA". It matches the Rfam family "Bacterial small subunit ribosomal RNA", at positions 524 to 776 of the family's 1533-position model. The record is from RNAcentral.
UACGUAGGGUGCAAGCGUUGUCCGGAAUUAUUGGGCGUAAAGAGCCCGUAGGCGGUUUGUUGCGUCGGCUGUGAAAACCUGAGGCUCAACCUCAGGCCUGCAGUCGAUACGAGCAGACUAGAGUGUUGCAGGGGAGACUGGAAUUCCUGGUGUAGCGGUGAAAUGCGCAGAUAUCAGGAGGAACACCGGUGGCGAAGGCGGGUCUCUGGGCAACAACUGACGCUGAGGAGCGAAAGCGUGGGGAGCGAACAGG